Molecule: ribosomal RNA, 460 nt
Filed under: uncultured bacterium
Lineage: Bacteria
Description: partial 16S ribosomal RNA
Rfam family: Bacterial small subunit ribosomal RNA
Source: RNAcentral
CCUACGGGAGGCAGCAGUGAGGAAUAUUGGUCAAUGGGCGCGAGCCUGAACCAGCCAAGUAGCGUGAAGGAUGACUGCCCUACGGGUUGUAAACUUCUUUUAUAAAGGAAUAAAGUGAGGCACGUGUGCCUUUUUGUAUGUAUUUUAUGAAUGAGGAUCGGCUAACUCCGUGCCAGCAGCCGCGGUAAUACGGAGGAUCCGAGCGUUAUACGGAUUUAUUGGGUUUAAAGGGAGCGUAGAUGGGUUGUUAAGUCAGUUGUGAAAGUUUGCGGCUCAACCGUAAAAUUGCAAUUGAUACUGGCAGGCGUGAGUACAGUUGAGGGAAGCGGAAUUCGUGGUGUAGCGGUGAAAUGCUUAGAUAUCACGAAGAAAUCCGAUGGCGAAGGCAGCCUACUAAACUGCAACUGACAUUGAUGCUCGAAAGUGUGGGUAUCAAACAGGAGUAGAUACCCUGGUAGUC